AUACGUAGGGUGCGAGCGUUGUCCGGAAUUACUGGGCGUAAAGAGCUCGUAGGUGGUUUGUCGCGUCGUCUGUGAAAUUCCGGGGCUUAACUCCGGGCGUGCAGGCGAUACGGGCAUAACUUGAGUACUGUAGGGGAGACUGGAAUUCCUGGUGUAGCGGUGAAAUGCGCAGAUAUCAGGAGGAACACCGGUGGCGAAGGCGGGUCUCUGGGCAGUAACUGACGCUGAGGAGCGAAAGUAUGGGUAGCGAACAGGAUUAGAUACCCUGGUAGUCCAUGCCGUAAACGGUGGGCGCUAGGUGUAGGGGUCUUCCACGACUUCUGUGCCGUAGCUAACGCAUUAAGCGCCCCGCCUGGGGAGUACGGCCGCAAGGCUAAAACUCAAAGGAAUUGACGGGG
RNAcentral lists this ribosomal RNA (398 nucleotides) under uncultured bacterium. RNAcentral describes it as "partial 16S ribosomal RNA". It matches the Rfam family "Bacterial small subunit ribosomal RNA", at positions 523 to 918 of the family's 1533-position model. The record is from RNAcentral.